AAUCAACGCUGGCGGCGUGCCUCAGACAUGCAAGUCGAACGCGAAAGCCCCCUUCGGGGGGCAAGUAGAGUGGUGCACGGGUGAGUAACACGUAGGUAAUCUACCUUUGGAUGGGGAAUAACCACCGGAAACGGUGGCUAAUACCGCAUAAUGCAGCGGCACCUAAUGGUGACAGUUGUUAAAGCGGGGGAUCGCAAGACCUCGCGUCUGAAGAGGAGCCUGCGGCAGAUUAGCUAGUUGGUAAGGUAACGGCUUACCAAGGCGAUGAUCUGUAGCCGGCCUGAGAGGGCGGUCGGCCACACUGACACUGACAUACGGGUCAGACUCCUACGGGAGGCAGCAGUCGGGAAUUUUGGGCAAUGGGCGAAAGCCUGACCCAGCAACGCCGCGUGAAGGAUGAAAUCCUUCGGGAUGUAAACUUCGCAAGAACGGGAAGAAUAAGUAGGGGACAAUACCCUCUACGAUGACGGUACUGUUUGUAAGCUCCGGCUAACUCCGUGCCAGCAGCCGCGGUAAUACGGGGGGAGCAAGCGUUGUUCGGAUUUACUGGGCGUAAAGGGCGCGUAGGCGGCCACCGCAAGUCGACUGUGAAAUCUCUGGGCUUAACCCAGAACGGUCAGCCGAUACUGCGGGGCUAGAGUGCAGAAGGGGCAACUGGAAUUCUCGGUGUAGCGGUGAAAUGCGUAGAUAUCGAGAGGAACACCUGCGGCGAAGGCGGGUUGCUGGGCUGACACUGACGCUGAGGCGCGAAAGCUAGGGGAGCGAACGGGAUUAGAUACCCCGGUAGUCCUAGCCUUAAACGAUGAAUGCUUGGUGUCUGGGGUUUUAUAGUCCCCGGGUGCCGUCGCUAACGCUUUAAGCAUUCCGCCUGGGGAGUACGGUCGCAAGACUGAAACUCAAAGGAAUUGACGGGGGCCCGCACAAGCGGUGGAUGAUGUGGUUUAAUUCGAUGCAACGCGAAAAACCUUACCUACCCUUGACAUGUCAGGAAUCCUGCAGAAAUGCAGGAGUGCCCGAAAGGGAGCCUGAACACAGGUGCUGCAUGGCUGUCGUCAGCUCGUGUCGUGAGAUGUUGGGUUAAGUCCCGCAACGAGCGCAACCCUUGCCAUUAGUUGCUACAUUCAGUUGAGCACUCUAAUGGGACUGCCGGUGACAAACCGGAGGAAGGUGGGGAUGACGUCAAGUCCUCAUGGCCCUUAUGGGUAGGGCUACACACGUCAUACAAUGGCGCGUACAGAGGGUUGCCAACCCGCGAGGGGGAGCCAAUCCCAGAAAGCGCGUCGUAGUCCGGAUUGGAGUCUGCAACUCGACUCCAUGAAGUCGGAAUCGCUAGUAAUCGCGGAUCAGCAUGUCGCGGUGAAUACGUUCCCGGGUCUUGUACACACCGCCCGUCACACCAUGGGAGUGGGUUUCACCAGAAGUAGUUAGCCUAACCGCAAGGAGGGCGACUACCACGGUGAGAUUCAUGACUGGGGUG
RNAcentral lists this ribosomal RNA (1477 nucleotides) under uncultured Acidobacteriota bacterium. Its description in RNAcentral is "bacterial SSU rRNA". It matches the Rfam family "Bacterial small subunit ribosomal RNA". The record is from RNAcentral. Lineage: Bacteria; Pseudomonadati; Acidobacteriota.